Molecule: long non-coding RNA, 865 nt
Organism: Dreissena polymorpha
Lineage: Eukaryota; Metazoa; Mollusca; Bivalvia; Myida; Dreissenidae
Exons: 3
Source: RefSeq, a predicted model, not a curated record
GACGACAUCGAAGGUUGUCAUUAAGUGUUUUUCAACCACCUUUUUUAUGAAAUGCGACUGUUACGUAAAUAAUAUUUUGUGGCUACAAAGAAAUACGCAUUCGUUUUAAGCCUCAGGUGGAAAUGCAAACUAAAGGACUUAUAUUGAAUGUCAAUGUUGUGGGAUUGACGGGGAAUGGAAAGGUCAAUGGAGUCGGCAAGUCGUGCUUUUGUAAUCGUGCGGUUCGACCCAGGCAGGACGAUUAUCACGAAAACCAUAGUUCCAUAGUGAGCACGAACGACUUUUGUGGGCAAAUCAUUAACAAUCAGCAUUUCUUAUAUUGGGGUGAACGGAGAUUGUCUGACGAGAAAACUCGAUUAAGAAUUCUUGAACAGACCGUUUUUGCCAAUGAUGAAACAUUCGAAGUUUUUGAGACCAACAUGGGGAAGAACUAUUUGCGCAGGUGCAAAACGCUUAAACUCUUCUCACCUGGAAAAGCGAUGUACAUUUGCCGGGAGCAGAUGGGUACUGAAAUACAAUUUGACGACAAAUUGGUCUUAAAUAGAGAAUUCCAGGUGAAUGGUAUUCUGUGUCUGAUUGACGUCAGUAUUGAAUGUCAGAUAAACCUUGAGGCACAGUUGUUAUUUACCCUAGAAGUAAUACAGUUUGCAUUGAAAGCCAAAAUCCCAGUUCUGGUUGUGACAACCAAAAAUGACAAAGCUGACACCAUUUGUAAAAAUAGUCUUGAGUCGUUUUUAUCUGAACAUAAACUGAAGCCCAACGUACCAGUUGUAGAAACUUCUUCUCAAUGCAAUAUUAACAUCGAAGCAGCGCUAGAACUGUUGACAGUACUAAUGCUCGAACCAACAAAAUCUGUUGCAAGUAC